Catharus ustulatus (Swainson's thrush) is the source of this 537-nucleotide long non-coding RNA. RefSeq lists it as uncharacterized. The record is from RefSeq and is a predicted model, not a curated record. The transcript is spliced from 4 exons. Lineage: Eukaryota; Metazoa; Chordata; Aves; Passeriformes; Turdidae.
UUACACAGCUAUGAAGUUCAUGCUCUGAAAAGUCAGCCAACCUCUGGGUGACACGUGCUGAGGUGUUGGACAUGGUCUGUGGUGAGCAAGAGAGAUGGAAUAAGAGAUAGUCAUCAGAUCUAACGGAAAACAUGGAAAACACUGAAAUACAUCCUCAGAAGAGGUGGGUUUUAAAGGAUCAUUGAGGAGACAACAAGACAAGAAUGACUUCAGAGAUUUUGGAGCAGUUGUCUUCAACCUUUGAGGUUCCUUCUUUGUAGGAAGGCAGAGUUUUCUGGUGUUUAGUAGAAAAGGUGAAAAAGCUCUCGAGUUCACCAGAGAAAUCAGAGAUAAGAAGAUCAGGGGUCAUAAGGUAAAAGAUUAAGAAGUUCAUAGCAAAAAGAGAAUUCUGCAGUUAAAGAUGUUUCAUUGUGGGUUUCCCCCAUAUUCUCACAUUUGGCUUUUUUUAGGAAUUAUUUUGUUGCUGGAAAUACUGAUUCAUUAUAGGGGUUUUUUUUUUCCCCACGAACAUGUUUGAACUUUACAGGAUAUGCGUCC